UACGUAGGGGCUAGCGUUAUCCGGAAUUACUGGGCGUAAAGGGUGCGUAGGUGGUUUCUUAAGUCUGAUGUGAAAGCCCACGGCUCAACCGUGGAAGGUCAUUGGAAACUGGGGAACUUGAGUGCAGAAGAGGAGAGUGGAAUUCCAUGUGUAGCGGUGAAAUGCGUAGAUAUAUGGAGGAACACCAGUGGCGAAGGCGAUUCUCUGGACUGUAACUGACGCUGAGGCUCGAAAGCGUGGGGAGCAAACAGGAUUAGAUACCCUGGUA
RNAcentral lists this ribosomal RNA (268 nucleotides) under uncultured prokaryote. Its description in RNAcentral is "partial 16S ribosomal RNA". It matches the Rfam family "Bacterial small subunit ribosomal RNA", at positions 524 to 792 of the family's 1533-position model. The record is from RNAcentral.